RNAcentral lists this ribosomal RNA (1426 nucleotides) under uncultured organism. Its description in RNAcentral is "16S ribosomal RNA". It matches the Rfam family "Bacterial small subunit ribosomal RNA". The record is from RNAcentral.
GACGAACGCUGGCGGCGUGCUUAACACAUGCAAGUCGAACUUUAAGGCCCUGCUUUUGUGGGGUGCUCGAGUGGCGAACGGGUGAGUAACACGUGAGUAACCUGCCCUUGACUUUGGGAUAACUUCAGGAAACUGGGGCUAAUACCGGAUAGGAGCUCCUGCUGCAUGGUGGGGGUUGGAAAGUUUCGGCGGUUGGGGAUGGACUCGCGGCUUAUCAGCUUGUUGGUGGGGUAGUGGCUUACCAAGGCUUUGACGGGUAGCCGGCCUGAGAGGGUGACCGGCCACAUUGGGACUGAGAUACGGCCCAGACUCCUACGGGAGGCAGCAGUGGGGAAUAUUGCACAAUGGGCGGAAGCCUGAUGCAGCAACGCCGCGUGCGGGAUGACGGCCUUCGGGUUGUAAACCGCUUUCGCCUGUGACGAAGCGUGAGUGACGGUAAUGGGUAAAGAAGCACCGGCUAACUACGUGCCAGCAGCCGCGGUGAUACGUAGGGUGCGAGCGUUGUCCGGAUUUAUUGGGCGUAAAGGGCUCGUAGGUGGUUGAUCGCGUCGGAAGUGUAAUCUUGGGGCUUAACCCUGAGCGUGCUUUCGAUACGGGUUGACUUGAGGAAGGUAGGGGAGAAUGGAAUUCCUGGUGGAGCGGUGGAAUGCGCAGAUAUCAGGAGGAACACCAGUGGCGAAGGCGGUUCUCUGGGCCUUUCCUGACCCUGACGAGCGAAAGCGUGGGGAGCGAACAGGCUUAGAUACCCUGGUAGUCCACGCUGUAAACGGUGGGUACUAGGUGUGGGGUCCAUUCCACGGGUUCCGUGCCGUAGCUAACGCUUUAAGUACCCCGCCUGGGGAGUACGGCCGCAAGGCUAAAACUCAAAGGAAUUGACGGGGCCCCGCACAAGCGGCGGAGCAUGCGGAUUAAUUCGAUGCAACGCGUAGAACCUUACCUGGGUUUGACAUGGAUCGGGAGUGCUCAGAGAUGGGUGUGCCUCUUUUGGGGUCGGUUCACAGGUGGUGCAUGGCUGUCGUCAGCUCGUGUCGUGAGAUGUUGGGUUAAGUCCCGCAACGAGCGCAACCCUUGUUCACUGUUGCCAGCACGUUAUGGUGGGGACUCAGUGGAGACCGCCGGGGUCAACUCGGAGGAAGGUGGGGAUGACGUCAAGUCAUCAUGCCCCUUAUGUCCAGGGCUUCACGCAUGCUACAAUGGCUGGUACAGAGAGUGGCGAGCCUGUGAGGGUGAGCGAAUCUCGGAAAGCCGGUCUCAGUUCGGAUUGGGGUCUGCAACUCGACCUCAUGAAGUCGGAGUCGCUAGUAAUCGCAGAUCAGCAACGCUGCGGUGAAUACGUUCCCGGGGCUUGUACACACCGCCCGUCAAGUCAUGAAAGUUGGUAACACCCGAAGCCGAAAGCCUAACCGUUGUGGGGGAGCCGUCGAAG